AUAUAGUCUGCCUAAUAUUAUAU
This 23-nucleotide small nuclear RNA is filed under the name Arabidopsis thaliana (thale cress). RNAcentral describes it as "snRNA_17545". The record is from RNAcentral. Lineage: Eukaryota; Viridiplantae; Streptophyta; Magnoliopsida; Brassicales; Brassicaceae.